UGAGAGGUUGGCCCGCCACAUCGGGACUGAGACACUGCCCGGACACCUACGGGUGGCUGCAGUAACGAAUAUUGGGCAAUGGGCGAAAGCCUGACCCAGCAAUGCCGCGUGCAGGAGGAAGCCUUUCGGGGUGUAAACUACUGUCAGGAGUCAGCAACCAAAGGGUGUUAAUAGCGCCCGGCGUUGAGCAGCUCCAGAGGAAGCCUCGACUAACUCUGUGCCAGCAGUCGCGGUAAGACAGAGGAGGCAAGCGUUGUUCAGAAUUACUGGGCUUAAAGAGGGUGUAGGCGGCUCGGAAAGUGUCGUGUGAAAUCCAACGGCUCAACCGUUGAACUGCACGGCAAACUACUUGGCUUGAGGUCGGUAGAGGUGCCUGGAACUCUAGGUGGAGCGGUGAAAUGCGUAGAUAUCUAGAGGAAUGCCGGAGGCGAAAGCGGGGCACUGGGCCGAUUCUGACGCUGAGACCCGAAAGCGUGGGGAGCAAACAGGAUUAGAUACCCUGGUAGUCCACGCCGUAAACGAUGCACACUAGACGUCGGAGCUUCUGACAGUGUCGGCGUCGCAGCAAAAGUACUAAGUGUGCCGCCUGGGGAGUACGGCCGCAAGGCUAAAACUCAAAGGAAUUGACGGGGGCUCACACAAGCGGUGGAGCAUGUGGCUUAAUUCGAAACAACGCGAAGAACCUUACCCGGGUUUGACAUGCUUGGAUGCCUCUUGGGGAUAACUCAGGUAGGCUGCCCUUCGGGGUGAAACUUGCACAGGUGUUGCACGGCUGUCGUCAGCUCGUGCUGUGAAGUGUCGGGUUAAGUCCCUUAACGAGCGAAACCCCUAUCGUUAGUUGCCAGCGCGUAAUGGCGGGGACUCUAGCGAGACUGCCGGCGUUAAGCCGGAGGAAGGUGGGGACGACGUCAAGUCAUCAUGGCCUUUAUGCCCGGGGAUGCACACGUGCUACAAUGGCGUGAACAGAGCGAUGCGAGACCGCGAGGUGGAGCAAAUCGCAAAAAACACGCCCCAGUUCGGAUUGGAGUCUGCAAUUCGACUCCAUGAAGUUGGAAUCGCUAGUAAUCGCGUAUCAGCUACGACGCGGUGAAUGUGUUCCUGAGCCUUGUACACACCGCCCGUCAAGUCAUGGAAGCUGGUAGUACCCGAAGUCCGUUUAGCUAACCUUUUGGAAGCGGCGGCCGACGGUAAGACUGGUAACUGGGACUAAGUCGGAACAAGGUA
Molecule: ribosomal RNA, 1224 nt
Filed under: metagenome
Description: bacterial SSU rRNA
Rfam family: Bacterial small subunit ribosomal RNA
Source: RNAcentral